This is a long non-coding RNA of Nematostella vectensis (starlet sea anemone), 391 nucleotides long. RefSeq lists it as uncharacterized. The record is from RefSeq and is a predicted model, not a curated record. NCBI's taxonomy places the organism in Eukaryota, Metazoa, Cnidaria, Anthozoa, Actiniaria, Edwardsiidae. The transcript is spliced from 2 exons.
UAGUUAUUUAUUGUACAAUUAUAAGAAGGAAUGACGAAAGUUAUUUAAUGUAAUAGGGAUGACGAACGAGCCGUAUCACCAAGCUCAAGAAGACAAAAAUACAGAGAUGUUACCAGGCUUUGGGUCAACAUCUCUCCGUCUGAAUAAAUCCCAACUUCUAUCAAGGCCGGUAAAACUGUUUCAAAGGCUGACAUUUGUGGGCUCUCCUAUCCAUUCUGCCAACACCAGUUACCCAAUGACUCAAGAAAUACUCCCAUCAGCAACGAAACUCCUCGAUGAAAACAUAAACACAACCCCGUAAGACAUCAAGCAAGGUUUAUUUGUGCGUUAUUUAUGGAAUUCAAAAAUGGUUGCCCUAAGUUAUUUUCUCGAUUAAAUAAACGUGAUAUCU